GAUGAACGCUGGCGGCGUGCCUAAUACAUGCAAGUCGAGCGAACAGACGAGGUGCUUUCUCCUCUGACGUUAGCGGCGGACGGGUGAGUAACACGUGGAUAACCUACCUAUAAGACUGGGAUAACUUCGGGAAACCGGAGCUAAUACCGGAUAAUAUAUUGAACCGCAUGGUUCAAUAGUUAAAGACGGUUUUGCUGUCACUUAUAGAUGGAUCCGCGCCGCAUUAGGUAGUUGGUAAGGUAACGGCUUACCAAGGCAACGAUGCGUAGCCGACCUGAGAGGGUGAUCGGCCACACUGGAACUGAGACACGGUCCAGACUCCUACGGGAGGCAGCAGUAGGGAAUCUUCCGCAAUGGGCGAAAGCUUGACGGAGCAACGCCGCGUGAGUGAUGAAGGUCUUCGGAUCGUAAAACUCUGUUAUUAGGAAAGAACAAAUGUGUAAGUAACUAUGCACGUCUUGACGGUACCUAAUCAGAAAGCCCCGGCUAACUACGUG
Molecule: ribosomal RNA, 497 nt
Filed under: uncultured bacterium
Lineage: Bacteria
Description: partial 16S ribosomal RNA
Rfam family: Bacterial small subunit ribosomal RNA
Source: RNAcentral